GAAUAGGGGAGCCGGAGGGAAACCGAGUCUUAAUUGGGCGUUAAGUUGCAGGGUAUAGACCCGAAACCCGGUGAUCUAGCCAUGGGCAGGUUGAAGGUUGGGUAACACUAACUGGAGGACCGAACCGACUAAUGUUGAAAAAUUAGCGGAUGACCUGUGGCUGGGGGUGAAAGGCCAAUCAAACCGGGAGAUAGCUGGUUCUCCCCGAAAGCUAUUUAGGUAGCGCCUCGUGAAUUCAUCUCCGGGGGUAGAGCACUGUUUCGGCUAGGGGGCCAUCCCGGCUUACCAACCCGAUGCAAACUGCGAAUACCGGAGAAUGUUAUCACGGGAGACACACGGCGGGUGCUAACGUCCGUCGUGAAGAGGGAAACAACCCAGACCGCCAGCUAAGGUCCCAAAGUCAUGGUUAAGUGGGAAACGAUGUGGGAAGGCCCAGACAGCCAGGAUGUUGGCUUAGAAGCAGCCAUCAUUUAAAGAAAGCGUAAUAGCUCACUGGUCGAGUCGGCCUGCGCGGAAGAUGUAACGGGGCUAAACCAUGCACCGAAGCUGCGGCAGCGACGCUUAUGCGUUGUUGGGUAGGGGAGCGUUCUGUAAGCCUGCGAAGGUGGCCUGUGAGGGUUGCUGGAGGUAUCAGAAGUGCGAAUGCUGACAUAAGUAACGAUAAAGCGGGUGAAAAGCCCGCUCGCCGGAAGACCAAGGGUUCCUGUCCAACGUUAAUCGGGGCAGGGUGAGUCGACCCCUAAGGCGAGGCCGAAAGGCGUAGUCGAUGGGAAACGGGUUAAUAUUCCCGUACUUGGUGUUACUGCGAAGGGGGGACGGAGAAGGCUAUGUUGGCCGGGCGACGGUUGUCCCGGUUUAAGCGUGUAGGUGUGUGUUCCAGGUAAAUCCGGUUCACUUUAACACUGAGGCGUGACGACGAGGCACUACGGUGCUGAAGCAACAAAUGCCCUGCUUCCAGGAAAAGCCUCUAAGCAUCAGGUAACAUCAAAUCGUACCCCAAACCGACACAGGUGGUCAGGUAGAGAAUACCAAGGCGCUUGAGAGAACUCGGGUGAAGGAACUAGGCAAAAUGGUGCCGUAACUUCGGGAGAAGGCACGCUGACACGUAGGUGAAGUGAUUUACUCAUGGAGCUGAAGUCAGUCGAAGAUACCAGCUGGCUGCAACUGUUUAUUAAAAACACAGCACUGUGCAAACACGAAAGUGGACGUAUACGGUGUGACGCCUGCCCGGUGCCGGAAGGUUAAUUGAUGGGGUCAGCGCAAGCGAAGCUCCUGAUCGAAGCCCCGGUAAACGGCGGCCGUAACUAUAACGGUCCUAAGGUAGCGAAAUUCCUUGUCGGGUAAGUUCCGACCUGCACGAAUGGCGUAAUGAUGGCCAGGCUGUCUCCACCCGAGACUCAGUGAAAUUGAACUCGCUGUGAAGAUGCAGUGUACCCGCGGCAAGACGGAAAGACCCCGUGAACCUUUACUAUAGCUUGACACUGAACAUUGAGCCUUGAUGUGUAGGAUAGGUGGGAGGCUUUGAAGUGUGGACGCCAGUCUGCAUGGAGCCGACCUUGAAAUACCACCCUUUAAUGUUUGAUGUUCUAACGUGGACCCGUUACCCGGGUUGCGGACAGUGUCUGGUGGGUAGUUUGACUGGGGCGGUCUCCUCCUAAAGAGUAACGGAGGAGCACGAAGGUUGGCUAAUCCUGGUCGGACAUCAGGAGGUUAGUGCAAUGGCAUAAGCCAGCUUGACUGCGAGCGUGACGGCGCGAGCAGGUGCGAAAGCAGGUCAUAGUGAUCCGGUGGUUCUGAAUGGAAGGGCCAUCGCUCAACGGAUAAAAGGUACUCCGGGGAUAACAGGCUGAUACCGCCCAAGAGUUCAUAUCGACGGCGGUGUUUGGCACCUCGAUGUCGGCUCAUCACAUCCUGGGGCUGAAGUAGGUCCCAAGGGUAUGGCUGUUCGCCAUUUAAAGUGGUACGCGAGCUGGGUUUAGAACGUCGUGAGACAGUUCGGUCCCUAUCUGCCGUGGGCGCUGGAGAACUGAGGGGGGCUGCUCCUAGUACGAGAGGACCGGAGUGGACGCAUCACUGGUGUUCGGGUUGUCAUGCCAAUGGCACUGCCCGGUAGCUAAAUGCGGAAGAGAUAAGUGCUGAAAGCAUCUAAGCACGAAACUUGCCCCGAG
RNAcentral lists this ribosomal RNA (2168 nucleotides) under Salmonella enterica subsp. enterica serovar Enteritidis. RNAcentral describes it as "partial 23S ribosomal RNA". It matches the Rfam family "Bacterial large subunit ribosomal RNA", at positions 655 to 2803 of the family's 2925-position model. Lineage: Bacteria; Pseudomonadati; Pseudomonadota; Gammaproteobacteria; Enterobacterales; Enterobacteriaceae. The record is from RNAcentral.